CAAGUGAAGAGUUUGAUCCUGGCUCAGAACGAACGCUGGCGGCGUGGUUAAGACAUGCAAGUCGCACGAGAAAGCCUGGGUAACUGGGCAAGUAAAGUGGCGAAAGGGCGAGGAAUACAUGGGUAACGUACCUUUGGCACAGGGAUAACUCGGGGAAACUCGAGAUAAUACCUGAUGAGACCACAGCUCCAUAUGGAGCAGGGGUCAAAGGGUGGGGAUCCUUCGGGACCUACCGGCCUUAGAGCGGCCCAUGUCCUAUCAGCUAGUUGGUGAGGUAACGGCCCACCAAGGCUACGACGGGUACCGGGACUGAGAGGUUGGCCCGGCGCAUUGGCACUGAGACACUGGCCAGACUCCUACGGGAGGCUGCAGUAACGAAUAUUGGGCAAUGGGCGCAAGCCUGACCCAGCGACGCCGCGUAUGGGAUGAAGUUCUUCGGAAUGUAAACCAUUGUCAGGGGUUACCAAGCAAAGGGAACUAAUAUUUCCCCAAGUUGAGGAGCCCCAGAGGAAGCCACGGCUAACUUCGUGCCAGCAGCCGCGGUAAGACGAAGGUGGCGAGCGU
RNAcentral lists this ribosomal RNA (564 nucleotides) under Phycisphaerales bacterium. RNAcentral describes it as "bacterial SSU rRNA". It matches the Rfam family "Bacterial small subunit ribosomal RNA", at positions 1 to 541 of the family's 1533-position model. The record is from RNAcentral. Lineage: Bacteria; Pseudomonadati; Planctomycetota; Phycisphaerae; Phycisphaerales.